AUGUCCGCGUGGCCGCGCAUGUCGAUGCGGCGCCAGAGCGCGGGCACGUCGCGCGCGGCGCGGCACCAGGAGCGGCGCACCUGCCCCACGCCGGUCAGGAUCUCGAUGUGGUCGAGCUUGUGGAGGAUGGCGCAGAGCACGUCCAGCAGGAGCCUCGCCCAGUCCCUCGCCUCCUCCGCCGCAGGCGCUAGUGCUGGCCCCUUGCGGCCGCGUCGUCCACGGGAGUCGAGAGCCACGAGACUAGGCUGUGGAAAUGAAAAUGGACCAUGCUUGAGCCAUGCUCCAGGUGAGCUGCGCGUAGCCGCCGCCGCCGCUGAAAAUGGCCCAUGCGUGAGCCAUGCUCCAGGUGAGCUGCGCGUAGCUGCCGCCGGCGAGCGUGUGCGCCGUCGUGCGUGA
Molecule: ribosomal RNA, 396 nt
Filed under: Triticum aestivum (bread wheat)
Lineage: Eukaryota; Viridiplantae; Streptophyta; Magnoliopsida; Poales; Poaceae
Description: partial small subunit ribosomal RNA
Source: RNAcentral